ACCGAUUGAGUAGAAGAGAAUCCCUGAAUUGCAGCAGAUCGAAGAAAGAAAGAAAGAAAGAGAAAUUGAUUUGGGAAAAAUGAUUUUAUUAGGGUUUAGAGUUUUACCGAGAGAGUCAAAAGUCAAAAGAGAGAGGUAAACUCAAACCGUUUAGUUAACUAUUAUUAAUCAUCAAUUUAGAUAAUUAAGAAGGAAAGAAGAGUUUUUUGGUGUGUCACUGCCAAUGAGAUGAGAAGAGUGAACCGUUUUUGCUUACGUGGCAAGAUGUGAAUUACUGAGUGACGAAACAGAACGGUUAAUAUGAUAAAGUUAAACCACCCACGUAGCUUGAGGUCUUUUAACCAAUCAAAAACUUGACAUUUGUCACGUAGGAUUUUUGAGUUAAUGUCCACCCGUUCCUCGCUCGAGUGACAUGGACUAUAAAUAUAAAGGUCACGGUGGGAAAAAAAGUUACUAUUAGUAAAGAGUAUAAAGAAAAAAAAUUGAAAGAAAGUUAACC
RNAcentral lists this long non-coding RNA (499 nucleotides) under Cicer arietinum (chickpea). RNAcentral describes it as "long non-coding RNA (CARI_LNC001568)". The record is from RNAcentral. Lineage: Eukaryota; Viridiplantae; Streptophyta; Magnoliopsida; Fabales; Fabaceae.